UAGUCCACGCCGUAAACGAUGAUUACUCGCUGUAGGCGAUACACAGUCUGUGGCUAAGCGAAAGUUUUAAGUAAUCCACCUGGGGAGUACGAUCGCAAGAUUGAAACUCAAAGGAAUUGACGGGGGCCCGCACAAGCGGAGGAACAUGUGGUUUAAUUCGAUGAUACGCGAGGAACCUUACCUGGACUUAAAUGUAGAUUGCAUAGAGUGGAGACAUUCUUUUCUUCGGACUAUUUACAAGGUGCUGCAUGGUUGUCGUCAGCUCGUGCCGUGAGGUGUCGGGUUAAGUCCCAUAACGAGCGCAACCCUUAUCCUUAGUUGCCAGCGGGUCAUGCCGGGGACUCUGAGGAGACUGCCACCGUAAGGUGUGAGGAAGGAGGGGACGACGUCAAAUCAUCAUGGCCUUUAUGCCCAGGGCUACACACGUGCUACAAUGGUAACGACAAAGGGUUGCGAACCUGCGAGGUAAGCCAAUCCCAAAAACGUUAUCUCAGUUCGGAUAGGAGUCUGCAACUCGACU
RNAcentral lists this ribosomal RNA (520 nucleotides) under uncultured bacterium. RNAcentral describes it as "bacterial SSU rRNA". It matches the Rfam family "Bacterial small subunit ribosomal RNA", at positions 791 to 1317 of the family's 1533-position model. The record is from RNAcentral.